UAACGCCUAGUUGUUGUGGUGGUAGCACGUGCGCAAAAUGUACAUACAUAAGAUCUAGUUUUCUCAAGUAAAGGACCGAAAUUGGCGGUGGUGAUAUUAUUUAGCUGCUGAUUAUGAAUUCGUUCAGCUUUGUGAUUGGAUAUUGCUCGUUCCUUGGCGUCUCCUACAAGUAAGAAGCGUGCGUAAAUUGUCUAAAACUAAAGACAGGUGUGUGGAAACAAUCAAAAUGCGACGUGUAAAUUUGACCAACAAUGACAUUGGAUCUGUUAAUGAAACCCACAAUUUCAGGGUAGUAUUCUUUCUUGGCGUGACGUAACUGAAGUUGGUCUAUCGUUAUUUGAUGAUUUAAAUCUCAAUUGUUUGUAGAAGGCCACCGUAUGCAAAGAGGUUAAGGUUUCCCUUGUAGAAUUUCGACGCGCUUUAACAUUCGCUGCCGUAUGCCGAGAGGUUAAAGUUCCCCCUGUAGGAUUUCGAGGCUCUUUACAGUCGUUCGGACCGGUAAUGUCUCACCUAAGAAAACGCUGCUCGGUUGAUUCAGGUGAAUCAAAUUAUUCAAACUAGGCGUUAUUAGUACAUCAAAUUAGUUUCACAUGGACGGCCUUUAGCUAUCUGCGAUUGUGUUAUCGGAAAAGAAAGUUUGGUGGCAGAGGAUCGUGGAGGAUAUCGGAUAAUGAAAUGGAAACAUGUGUGAUUUGCUUUUUGUCACAUUUAACGGCAAUCGACUUAAUGCCUAAUGGCCGUACCCGACGUAAGGCCCGACAACUCGUCUCAAGGCAUUUAGUGGCAAUCAAAGCAGGUGACACCGAGUCUAUCUUGUGUGCGCUAUAAAUAGCUCUAAACAGCCUGUUCAGUUUUUGGGGUAUUACAGAGUAAGGUUACAGCAAUGAAUGUAGUUUUUUGUCAAAAAAUAAAAUUCGAUCCUCUGCAAUGCA
Molecule: long non-coding RNA, 932 nt
Filed under: Varroa destructor (honeybee mite)
Lineage: Eukaryota; Metazoa; Arthropoda; Arachnida; Mesostigmata; Varroidae
Description: uncharacterized LOC111252776, transcript variant X1
Source: RNAcentral